Molecule: long non-coding RNA, 8275 nt
Organism: Taeniopygia guttata (zebra finch)
Lineage: Eukaryota; Metazoa; Chordata; Aves; Passeriformes; Estrildidae
Source: RefSeq, a predicted model, not a curated record
CGCAAAAGCAAUAACUUCUCAAAAGCUUUUUCUAUCUCUAUUGCUUUUUCACAAAAGCAGUAACUUCUGAAAUCAGAAGACAGUUAAUAAGAGAUUGCUCUGAAGUCAUUAAAGCAAUUAAUCAGUAUGCUUAUUUGACAAUAAUGCUUCCUGGAGUAAGUCUGAAAUCACUGUUAGCCCUGAUAUCACAGUUGGUGAGAGCACUUUCCAGAGGGUAGCUGGAGGCGGCCCUGGCAGCUGCACUGAACUGUCAUGCUGCACAUUCCAUGGUUUAAACAGUAAUUUAUUUUGCAAUCCCUGCAUCAUCAACUCUGGGAUGUUUGUCCAUAAUGUUUAAUGUUUAAAGAAGUCAAUAUUUAAAGAGACCUGUUUUCAGCAAAUAAAAGCUCUUUGUUGCUUUAAAGUUAAUAUGUCACACAUUCUGAUGGUGAUACAGAGCAAGAACUGUCACCCACAAAGUGUCAGUGCCUUUGUUAAGAUAAGAAAUUAUGGUGCCAAAUGAACCACUAGAGAAAAAGACUGCUUAAAACUUCUGGCACAGUUUGUGAGUAUCUUAGUAAAGUUCAUUAGAGCUUAAAGGAAAAAAUCCAUCUGUUAAUUCUAUUAAAGACAUGCAGGGGAACAAAAAAGUGUGAGUCGCACAAAACAGGCUAUAUAGGAUUUGCCAGUGUAGAGAAAUCUGCUGCUCUACCUUCUUCUACAAGCCAGCAUGGGAAUAAACAGGCAUGUGGGACACACUGCUGCUCCCAGCAAUGUCUGUAAGAGCUUACACAGUACCUUCCUUUAGGAUCUCUGCUUUGAAGUAUCAUGGUAUGCUUGGCAUUGAACUUCCGAAAGGGAUGCUGGAAUAACCACAAUAACAAAUUUGUGGGUUGUGCUGUCCGCAGGGGAAGGUGAUGACCAUAAAAUCUGGUACUACAGGCACAGAAGUCACAAUGUACACAACUGCAGGGUAAUAUGAGCAAAGAAGUAAAGGGUUGGUGAACUCCUUUCCUGCGCUGGUGACUCGAGGUUGGCAGGCUUCGCAUCUGCUAACCCUGCUGCUUCUAGAUCACCCCCCUUUGCCUGACAGGGCUUUCUGCUGCCAAGGUCUGUGGCAGCGAUGCUGGGAAGUACAACCCGCCUUCUCUCCCCUCCCACGCAGAGGAGGAGCGCUGCCUUAAACAGGAGAUGGGCAAAAGAACUCUGAGAAAAAUCCAUAGUUACCAGAGUCUUGAAGACCUGUAUGCACCUCUUAAUUGAAACUCCUAGGAAGAUUAGUGAGAGGACUUCUGAAUUUAUACCAUUCAUUGCAUAAAUACAAACAUAAAAUUUAUUCUGACUUGGGGAAAUUCACACCUACAAACAAACAGAAAAUCAUACCACUGUUUUGGAAAAGCACCCCUUUUAUCAGCAAUUAGUUUAUUUAAAGGUUCGGGUUAAAUGUAGUGUAUUUGUUGUGCAAGCACAAACUAUACCAAAAACAUUCUUAUAAUUUUAUUUUUUCUGAUUUCUCAGAAUCUGUAGCCAUUUGUUUACAGAUACUCUACACAGUUCUGAUAAUUCUGGGAUAAGGGGAGACGUUAAAAACCACGUUGGCUCUUAACAAGGAAGUUUGGCGUUUUAAGCUGAUGCAAUUUUCACUUAUUGAAAAUCACAUCAGACAAAAGCUUUCUGUUACUAGAAAUAUUUUUGUUUGUUUGUUUCAAGGGAGGACAAAAUACAGCUUAACACUACUAAGCACCAUUUCUAAAGAAAUGGGGGAUAUAAUUUGUUUCGUCAACCUAAGCUUUGCAAGCUAGAUCCUCCAUAGUCCCUAAAGGCAUUAAUAAUUUCUUGUAAAUAGAAAAGAGAAACAAACAAGACUUAUGAAAUCAUCUCAAUACUCAGGUCUCUGCACUCCCUCUCUCUCUGCACUCUCUGUCUCCAGACCUCAAAAUGCUGUGAAGCCAAGGCAAGUUGCCAAGAGUUUCACACCCAGUGCUGAACUGGCAUAGAGUCAAAGGUUGCUAGUCACAUUUGGAUGCCAAAAUAGAGUACUGCUCUCACUACUGGCUUUUACAUGUCCUUUUACAAAGCUAGAUACUUUGCAAUCUUUGCCUCUUAUUCAAGCUUUCAUUGCUUGCUUUUGAAAGUUUUCCUUGAGUGCUAAUCUUGCUGCUGGUAAGAAAGCAUCUUGCGUACUAAAAUAUUCCUCUUCAGUAAUAGUUGUCAAUGUCCCUCUUCUGCAAUGGGAAGUACAUGCUUCAAGUGUUGCAUGCUCUGUAUAUCUCAGCAGUAUCAGCUCAGUGCUAUUCAAGCCUGCUCUUUGGUCCACAUUCACCAUUCAGCCACACUGAGCCAACCUCUAAAGCUCCACUGAGAGGCUGCCUCAGUCUAAGCUCGACAGCUAUGUCUGAUGGAGACAGACUGCUCUUUCUUACAGCCCCCAAACACAUCCAGAAUUCCACUCAGAACUGUAGCAUGUUAAGUGCAAUACUGCUCAGUCAGUGCACAGCAUUGGCCCUCAGUAACACUGUAUGAAUACACUCAGUGACUGACCACUGCAAUUAAAAAAGCCACAGGCCACACCAGCUAGGAUCUGUUCCUGAGCCCUGGUCACAAGUAAUAUCUGCCCUCAGAAGAUACCAUACUGGGACAGCAAGAUGUUUGACCCAUAAUUUGCAAGCAUACUUUUGGAACACCAGUUAGCAACUAAUAAUUCACAAACUUCACUUUAAGGUCAGAAAUGUUCCUACUGAACUGUGUUAAAUGCUUUGGGAUCAGUCACCUGAGUGAUGCUAUGAGCUCCCAGAUCUAACUAAAGUUCUUCUCUUUUAUAAAAGUGUACAUGUAUCAAAGCACCUGACAAAAUGGCAAAUUGACACCCUGUCAAUGGCAUUUUAAUAUGAUGCUCUCUUCUCUGGGAAAAGCAAGAAAAUCACAGAAAACUCGAUGUAACUUUAUUUUUGGGGAUGUCCAUAUCCAAGGGGCCACCAGAAGCAACCUAUACAACUGAGUAGAUGUCUCCUUGUACCAGUGCAGAGUUAACUUUGGCAAUGGGGGGAAAAAACACUGCAGCCUGUGGGGAAGUAUUUAAUCUCUGUUCUCGUGUGCAAUUCUCAGCAACACAGCAAAAGGAACACGCACUACAAUUAAUGAUUCACACAUUUAUAACUCUUGACCUUUGUUAGCCGAAAAACCUAAGUAAACCAAUCUCUACACUUAAAUUUCUUGUAACAGCUGUGAAUAAGACAAUUGUUUUAAAAAAAAGUUGGGCUGCUUAUUUGGAAGGAUAACUGGUUUAAUUCUUUAAGGUAACACAAAGCAGGAAUACAGGAACAGUCAGAUGGAGUUAAAAAAUAAGGCAAGCGGUAACUGCUAAAACAAAAUCUAAAAAGCUAUUUAACUUGUGCUGCACACUUCAAUUUUGCAAUGAUAAAAAUUGUUUGUUUAUCUCAUCCAAGAAACUGUUUCCUCAUUUCCUGUUACAGCAAACAGCUGACUAGGUGAAAAGGGUUGAUCAGUAAUUUUGAGGAUUAUAACUACAUCAUUGAUCUGGUUCCCAGUUAAUGGUCAUUAAAAAAUCUGUUAUCUUUGCAGCAGUUCAUUGGACAGAACACACUAUUUUGACUAUUUCCAACCCUUAGGAUGGCUGACAUGUCCUAAAAGAAUAUGCAAAAUACAUAUAUAUUCUUUUUAAUCACUGCCUCUUUUGGCUUUAUCCACACACUAAAAUGAACAAAGUCUGACACUAAAUUUUAUGUUCUUGAACAAGAGCAGGGCUCCUUUUCUCAGUACAUCUCAUUAAAGCUCCUACAGCUUGUAUCUAGACUUUUGUCUUAUGGCAGCAAUGUAUGCCUCGUAUUUUGCAGUAACAUAGGGCAUAAUGAUAAUUAGAAGCAUAUUUGUGUCAGGCUAGCAAGGGAAAGCCAAUGAAGAAGUAAUGUUAUUAGGAGAAAUAGUACAUCUCACUCUCAAGAACUCAGUGUUCUGUGAAGUGCCAGUGAAGAAAUUCCUAUCCAGUUUUAGCAUUCUGCUUUAGAGACCAAAAGUAAAUUGGGAUCCAUAAGCACUGUGGAUUCCUGUAGCUCCACCUAUUAUCUAUUACUGCCAGAUGAAGCUUUUAACUGAGUAAAUCAAUUUAUGCUUAUAUAUUUGAGUCAAAUAUGCUUGACAGUGCACGCUCUGCUGAUUAAAAAAAGUAGCUUAAUCAGCAUAAAUGCCUUGUGUGCAAGAACCCAGAAUCUCACGGGAAACAGGACUGCAGCAUUUCAGCUGGGGAAAAUGGCUGUUGUCCAGAUCACCAGUGAUUUGGAAGGUUGUUUCUGUGUGGACACAUUAAGUACACAUAGAGGUAUAUAAGGCAAUGGCUGCUGGAUGACAUUGGAGCUCUAUGUCCACAGAAAGGUCAGAAAAUUAAUUGCUGGAGCGGUUUUAAGGGGGGAAUGGAAGGAAACUUGUUAUAUCACCCUGAAAAGUGUAACAUUCAAACAAUGAAUAGGGGUGCUCACACAGCAAUUACUUAGAAGUAAAAGCUUACCAUUGUGGCUUCCUGCAUAGAGACACAAUGUAAAUAAUUGUUUGUGUCUUCUCCAAGAUUUUACUUAUGACAAUUUGUUAUUGAAGACAAUUAACAGUUAUACCAACAAACAAACCCUCCACUCCAAAUAUUUUAAAUAACCUAACGAAGGUUAUUUUUCUCUUCCAAAAUAAAUUUUUUGCACUUCUCUAUUGUGGAGUCACUAUUGCCUUUGCUCUUCAUGCUCAGGAACUCAAAAAGUAAAGAGGUUCUUCAUUUCUGAAGUGAAAUAACACAGACUUAAGGCUAAUUUAGAAACAAACUUGGGACCUCCCUCAAGCCAGCUGCCCUAGGAUACAAAGAUCUAGUGUUCUUCACUUUCAGGACUGAGACACAAGAAGAAGAAAGGAAUAGCUCUCUUUAAUUUUACUUAAGUAUUACUUGUGUAUUUCCUUAAAUAGAAGGGAAACAAUGUAAUCUAAAGCAUCUCAAAAUUGUUUUCUUUGACUUUAAAUUGCUGGCAGUUUGAGUUAAGAUUAUUUACUAACAUGAGCCUCAGUGUUGUGCUCCAAUCGAUCCCUUCAGUGCUGUAACUACCGCUUUGUUACUGCAGUUACCUACUGAUAUUGCACCCACUGGGUAUUUAGGCAUAAAAUCUGGUCAAAAGGCAUUAAUGGGAAUUUUGCUACUUUCUUUGCAGUCUAGAGUUCACUUGCAGCUUGUUGAAUCACUAUUUGAUUUUGUUUGCUUGUGUUUGCUUGUUUUUUUAAAUGGGGCAAGAUGAAUUAAUUGCUACAGUAUCAACAUUAAUACUUCUGAUGACUCCAUUGAUAACUGAUGAUUUAUGCCUGCGGUUUUCAAACUAUGUAAUAUGAGAAAACUUUCAUUUUCUGUUUUCAGUAUUGCUGCUUUUUGAGAAGAAACAUUUCUUGUUAAUGCACCUAAAUGGGUCUAAAAAAAAAAAAAAUAAAGGAAAGCAAUUAACAAGAAAGAAAACAUGCUGUUUCUAAGUAGUAUGCAACAACAGUUGCUAAAGCCACAUCAGCAGGACAGAAGAGCACCAUACCAGGAAAAUGAGCAACUAACCCCUGGAGACCUUGCUCUUGAUAUGUUGGAAGAGUAUCUGAAUAUUAUUAUUAGUAGUAUAUUAUAUAUGAAUGGAUAUAUGUAUAUGAAUAUUAUUAUAUUAUCAUAAUAUUUAUGUUUAUGAACAUAAAUAUUAGCCUAAUAUAUUCAAAUCUAUCUUCUUUGUAAAAGUGACUAUUUUCUGGAAAAACUGAUUUGUGUGAGUGAGCCUCAGAAUAAAUGAUCUCUGGUGUUUUCUCAUUAAAGUAAAUAAUCAUCCUUUUUUCUAGCUGUACUAAAGAUUUCUUUUGUCCAGUGGAACAGUGGUUCUUUCUUUUUGUCAGCGAAUCAGGGAGAAUCCCUUCUUCAGAUUAGAAGUAUGUGUAUUGGUAUAUUGUAAUACAAACGUAAGAGACAGAUCUUCUUGAACCAUGACAGUAUAUAAAAUCACUGCUCUGGGUCACUUAAUUUUAUUAGAAAUGAGAGUGCAGGAUCCUUCUUUCCCCAAACUCACAAUUUCUGAUUACUUUCACUUCUCCAUCUUUCAUUAAUAUUUCAAUUUUGCAAGGCAAACAUAAAUCUGCUCAGUUUGCAAAUGACUUAGCAAUUGCAAGCACAAAUGUCCCAUUAUACAACUGCAUUUGCUUCCUAUUUUAAUCAGUGCAACAAUUUUGCAAUUGUAUAAAUGUCCAAUUACAAAACCUGCUGAUAUGAAAGAUGAUAGAGAAACCUUCACUGUUGACAUGCCGCUACCCUCCAGCUGAAUAUAUCAUGCUCAGUGCUAUAGUUCUUGUCUGUAAUAACACCCUACCUAGUUCACCUGUUUACGCUCUAAGAAAUGUGCUGAGUUUGUAACUUUUGUGCCCUUUUUGAAGAUGCAAGAGAGGACAGAAUGUGAUGUCUUCAUUCAGGUGACCUCUGCAGGUGCAGAGGUAAUCAGUUUGCUGCAUUAGAUGUAUCAUGUAUUGAUCCAUGGUAACAUUUAGCUAUCUCCACACUCAAGAUCCUUUCAGACUGGAGGUAGCUGACCUCACAGUGAAAAGAAUUAGCUAUUUCUAGAGAAAGAAAAAGGGUUGUUUCCCCUGCUUAUGUUUCUUUAAUUUUUUUAACAGAUUAUUUCAAAACAAUAGAUUUUUCUCCAUUCUCUAUGUAACACUAAUAAAAUAGAGAAGUCUUGUUGAGGACUGCCAUCCUGGAUAACUCUUCCCCUCAGAUUAUGGCUAAUAUUCUGAAAGUCAGCACAAGGAGGAAUGGCAUGCAUGUCCUCUGACAUACACAGAAAGUUAAAAAUUAUCAACAACUAGUGACAAUCUACAAAGAGAUAUCAACACUUUUGAAAGGAAAAGAACACACACACAUAUAUAUAUGGAGGGGGGAGUAAUUUCAGAAAGUUCCCUCUCUAAUUUUUAGACUUAAUAUUAUGAAAGUAUUACUCACAGUUUCAGGGGCUAUUUUAUUUCUUGUCAAGCUAAAAACAGCUUCAAGAAUGCAAUGUAUGCAUAUUUAACAUGCUUAUUCCAGGAGGGAAACAGAGGUUUUUUUGUUUUCAUGUUCUCUCACUUUUUUCAGCAUCUAGUAUAUUAUAUGCAAAGGGUGUCUGUGAAUGAAGGAUUCCACCAGUUCUGUUUGUCAUCAUAUUGGUGUCCAGACCUGCAGACUGCAGUAAUCAUGAUUACUAUCCUUUUUGCAGGUACAGCCCUACAAAUUAAACCCCUCACUAAUUAGUAAUAAUAUCAACCCAGGGACAUAAAUUCUAAGCCAAAAACUAUAGCAGAAUGUAUACUAUAAGCAUGUAAAUUCCAGGGGAAAAAAAAGUUCAUGGGUUCAUUGCAACCUCCCUACAGCUUUUUCUACAAAUUUCUUCAAUUUCAACAUCAAUAUUUUGCAAUGUAACUAUAGGUGUAAAUUUUUAAGUCCACGUGGUGACUUCAAAAUGGAAGCUGUACUCUAAAUGAAGCCUCGAAUUUCUCAAAAUAUUUUAUUUUCUCAGCAGUGUUUCCUGAUGUCAGCCUUCCAUUUCAUCUAAUUUAGAAAAAACUGUUUUGAAAAUCCUGCCUGUACCAUGGUUUUUGUCUUCCACACAACUGACAGCUGAAGCCAGUUCAAAAAGGAUGAUUAAAGCUGGAAUAGGUAUGAAGCCAAGUUUCCUCCUGGCUUCUCUUCUUCCUGCUGUGCCCCGUGUGGCUGGCAGAGCUUUGUCAUUCUGGAACAGAGGCUGCUGGAAGUGAAUUCUUCAUAAGCAGAAUGGCUUUUGUUCAAUUUUGACUCAGGCUUCCAGCCCAAACUCUUGAGUAAUCUGUGCUGAGAAAGCUGUCUGCGUACAAGGUUUGUGUUGGUUUUGUUUGUUUGUUUUUUGAGUUUUUCAAUUGGUUGGUUGGUUUUUGUUGUUGUUGCUCUUUUCUAGAAACUUCCAGUCAGAUUCAAUCUGCAGUACAGAGAACCAUUUUCUGAAAGACUGUGUUCUGUGCAGAGGAUCUUUACUAUCAGCCUUGUGCUAGUAUAUUCUUUGAAAAUUACAGGAAAUUGGGCUUUAGAUUUAGAUACCAAAAAAAUUAUUCUUAGGUUUCUAUACCUCUAUUCCUUUAUGUGGGUGAAUUGUGGAACAAAUCAGAGAGGCAUACUGCAUUAUUUUACUUCAUGUCUAUUAAUUAAUGUAUUCAUUUUUUUCCCUGUACAAACAGGUUACAAAAAUGGUGUUUACACAUUAAAAUUUUCUUUCUGAAAAAGGAA